AUGCUUUUCAUUCUGGCAAUAGACCCAUUGCAGCAGAUUCUUCGUCUCACCACUGAGCAGGGCAUCCUCAAGCCCAUCCGCGCUCGUUCCGCCAGAUGUAGAAUCUCUCUCUUUUCGGAUGAUGCAGGCAUCUUUGCCAACCCUGAUAAGGAGGAGCUGCGGGCGAUCUCGGCCAUACUGAAAGCCUUUGGGGAGGCUAGUGGCCUAAUCACGAACCUGUCAAAGACCGAGGUUUUUCCGAUACGGUGUGGGGACAAUGACCUCCAGGACAUACUCACCGUCUUCCCCGCCAAGAUUGCCAGCUUCCCAGGACGCUACCUCGGACUUCCAUUGCACCAUCGUUGGGUCCGGAGGGUUGACCUCCAACCUUUCAUCGACAAGAUUGUGGGUAGACUGCCGGGUUGGAAAGGAAAGCUACUAAAUAAGCCCGGCAGGGUCGCUCUGGCUCAAUCAGUUCUAACGGCUAUGGCGACUUUCCACAUCUCCGCUCUCAGCCUGCCGAAAUGGAUCCUGCGAAAAGUUGAGAAGAUCAUUCGCAGGUUUAUAUGGCAGAAAGAGGACCAAACGCAAACUUCUGGAGGGCACUCCCUAGUUAACUCGAAGACCGUCUGUUGUCCAAGGAGGAUGGGCGGCCUGGGAAUCGCAGACCUUGAGCGUUUUGGCCGCGCCCUCUGCCUUCGCUGGCCCUGGUUACAAUGGACGGACCCGGAGAGGCCAUGGGUGGGCACUGACCUG
RNAcentral lists this ribosomal RNA (735 nucleotides) under Triticum aestivum (bread wheat). RNAcentral's name for it is "partial small subunit ribosomal RNA". The record is from RNAcentral. Lineage: Eukaryota; Viridiplantae; Streptophyta; Magnoliopsida; Poales; Poaceae.